RNAcentral lists this ribosomal RNA (485 nucleotides) under uncultured bacterium. RNAcentral describes it as "partial 16S ribosomal RNA". It matches the Rfam family "Bacterial small subunit ribosomal RNA", at positions 28 to 523 of the family's 1533-position model. The record is from RNAcentral.
GACGAACGCUGGCGGCGUGCUUAACACAUGCAAGUCGAACGAUGAAAGCUGGAGCUUGCUCCGGCUGGAUUAGUGGCGAACGGGUGAGUAACACGUGAGCAAUCUGCCCUUGACUCUGGGAUAACUCCGAGAAAUCGGUGCUAAUACCGGAUAUGACCCUUGGCGGCAUCGCUGGGGGUGGAAAGUUUUUCGGUCAAGGAUGAGCUCGCGGCCUAUCAGCGUGUUGGUGAGGGAAUGGCUCACCAAGGCGACGACGCGUAGCCGGCCUGAGGGGGUGACCGGCCACACGGGGACUGAGACACGGCCCAGACUCCUACAGGAGGAAGCAGUGGGGAAGAUUGCACAGUGGGCGCAAGCCUGAUGCAGCAACGCCGCGUGGGGGAUGACGGCCUUCGGGUUGUAAACCUCUUUUAGCAGGGAAGAAGCGAAAGUGACGGUACCUGCAGAAAAAGCACCGGCUAACUACGUGCCAGCCGCCGCCGUAA